GACGAACGCUGGCGGCGUGCUUAACACAUGCAAGUCGAACGGUGAAGCGCCUUCCUUUUUGGUGGGUGUGGAUGAGUGGCGAACGGGUGAGUAACACGUGAGUAACCUGCCCCCUUCUUCUGGAUAACCGCAUGAAAGUGUGGCUAAUACGGGAUAUUCUGGGUCUGUCGCAUGAUGGGUCUGGGAAAGAUAUUGUUUCGGUGGGGGAUGGGCUCGCGGCCUAUCAGCUUGUUGGUGGGGUGAUGGCCUACCAAGGCGGUGACGGGUAGCCCGCCUGAGAGGGUGGACGGUCACACUGGGACUGAGACACGGCCCAGACUCCUACGGGAGGCAGCAGUGGGGAAUAUUGCACAAUGGGCGCAAGCCUGAUGCAGCGACGCCGCGUGAGGGAUGGAGGCCUUCGGGUUGUGAACCUCUUUCGCCAGUGAAGCAGGCCUGCCUCGUUUGUGGGUGGGUUGACGGUAGCUGGAUAAGAAGCGCCGGCUAACUACGUG
Molecule: ribosomal RNA, 494 nt
Filed under: uncultured bacterium
Lineage: Bacteria
Description: partial 16S ribosomal RNA
Rfam family: Bacterial small subunit ribosomal RNA
Source: RNAcentral